This 332-nucleotide ribosomal RNA is filed under the name uncultured bacterium. Its description in RNAcentral is "bacterial SSU rRNA". It matches the Rfam family "Bacterial small subunit ribosomal RNA", at positions 568 to 898 of the family's 1533-position model. The record is from RNAcentral.
CGCGCAGGCGGCCUUAGGAAGUCAGGCGUGAAAGCCCCGGGCUCAACCUGGGAGGUGCGCUUGAUACUCUGAGGCUGGAGUACGGGAGAGGAGAGUGGAAUUCCCAGUGUAGAGGUGAAAUUCGUAGAUAUUGGGAAGAACACCGGUGGCGAAGGCGGCUCUCUGGACCGUAACUGACGCUGAGGCGCGAAAGCGUGGGGAGCAAACAGGAUUAGAUACCCUGGUAGUCCACGCUGUAAACGAUGUGCGCUAGACGUUGGGGGCCCUAGGUCUCCGGUGUCGCAGCUAACGCGGUAAGCGCACCGCCUGGGGAGUACGGCCGCAAGGUUAAA